Molecule: ribosomal RNA, 120 nt
Filed under: Esox lucius (northern pike)
Lineage: Eukaryota; Metazoa; Chordata; Actinopteri; Esociformes; Esocidae
Source: RNAcentral
GCUUACGGCCACACCUCCUGAGCACGCCCGAUCUCGUCUGAUCUCGGAAGCUAAGGCAGGGUCGGGCCCCGGUUAGUACUUGGAUGGGAGACCGCCUGGGAAUACCAGGUGCUGUCAGCC